This 253-nucleotide ribosomal RNA is filed under the name uncultured bacterium. Its description in RNAcentral is "partial 16S ribosomal RNA". It matches the Rfam family "Bacterial small subunit ribosomal RNA", at positions 524 to 776 of the family's 1533-position model. The record is from RNAcentral.
UACGUAGGGUGCGAGCGUUAAUCGGAAUUACUGGGCGUAAAGAGCGCGCAGGCGGUCGUUCAAGUCGCGUGUGAAAGCCCCCGGCUCAACUGGGGAGGGUCACGCGAUACUGAUCGACUCGAAGGCAGGAGAGGGUAGUGGAAUUCCCGGUGUAGUGGUGAAAUGCGUAGAUAUCGGGAGGAACACCAGUGGCGAAGGCGAGUCUCUGGGCUGAUACUGACGCUGAUGCUCGAAAGCUAGGGGAGCAAACGGG